Molecule: long non-coding RNA, 270 nt
Filed under: Lathyrus oleraceus (garden pea)
Lineage: Eukaryota; Viridiplantae; Streptophyta; Magnoliopsida; Fabales; Fabaceae
Description: Pisum sativum (pea) long non-coding RNA (PSAT_LNC040738)
Source: RNAcentral
AUUCAACUGGUCAUAACGACUCUGAAUCCAUUCAGCAUCAGUCAACUAGGGAUUUUGAGGGUAUACUUUUCUUUUAUUUUUCUUUCUUUUGAAAUUUUUUUCCCGAUUUUUGAUUUUUUCAUCUUUUUCACCCUCUUCUUUUUUUUCUUUUUACAUUACCUUUGUAAUGCCCCAGUUUGACUGUUGCUGGGUUCUUGAGACACAGCUGAAUGAUCUGCUUUUCACCGCUCGAAUGCUCGGGAAAUCUCAUCAGGAAUCCCUUCAACAUCA